This is a long non-coding RNA of Cebus imitator (Panamanian white-faced capuchin), 6349 nucleotides long. RefSeq lists it as uncharacterized. The record is from RefSeq and is a predicted model, not a curated record. Lineage: Eukaryota; Metazoa; Chordata; Mammalia; Primates; Cebidae. The transcript is spliced from 2 exons.
CUUGAAUCUGGGAGACAGAGGUUGCGGUGAGCCGAGAUCAUGCCACUGCACCCCAGCCUGGUAAAACAGGCUAUUUGUGCCUACAAGAAAUCCAGCUUACAUAUGAAGACGCAUUCUUUUUUUCUGUUAACAGAUGGUAACAACUACUGUGAUGUAUGAAUUACCGAGGUUUAUUGUGGGACGAACACAGGAACUCUAUUUGAGCCACCGUGUGAAUGGAGAUGUGGUGAAUGGUUCCGGGUAGAUGGUGUAAGUCACAGAAUGUUCUAGUAGCUGGGGAAACACACCAUGGCCGCUGAAUAUUAUGCAUUUACUUUCUCUGUUGUGCAAUUGUGAAGUUCCUAUUGUUGGCCGACUUUUAAAUAGAAUAUUUCUAAAAAAAUAAAGAGACAAGUUAUUCUAAUUUUUAUAGUCUUUUCCAAGUGUCAAGGCUUUUUAAAAAUAUAGUUGAAGUCACGGUAAUUUUUCAAGGAAAUGUUUUUGUAGAUCUCCCAAAUGGACAGUGUGUUAUAAUAGAAAUGUUUAAACUAUGUAUUUAGAACAGAUUUUUUUAGUCAACAGAUUUUCUUUCAGGGAUAAGCUUUUUUCUGUGCUUCUUUCCCUCAACACCUUCUUUGUCCUUAUUUCUUAAUGGUUAGUAUGUUUUCACCGCUUCGUUUGCUUUUGCUGUCAUAAAGCCUCAUAACCAUUUCUGCAGUGGUUCUUUUAGUUGCUGUAUGGUUAGAAUGCAGUUGUAUUUUUAUUUGAACAUGUUCAUACCUUAGGCUGAGAUUUUCUCGGUUUCUAGUACAUUAUCCUUUGCAUUUAUUGUUGUGAUUAUUGUCUUUGAAGUGACAGCAGAACUUUCAACACCUGUUCUCUUACAUGGCGUGUCUGAAUUCCAGGAAGACUGCAGGAGUAGCCUGAGGCGCGCACGUGGCUGAGUGUGGUGAAUGCAUACCGGCCGCCCGGCUCCCAGCUCCGGGUCAUGAAGGGCCACUGGGCGUUUCCCUGUGUCGUGCCUGUGUCUGCCGUGUUAGUAGGAGCUCCUGCUUGUCCCUGUUAACACCCUCCAGUUAGGAUUGUCAAGUACAAUGUCACAGAAGGAUGGCUUAGGGGAGUUCAAUCUCUUCCUGAACGGUGCCAUGCGGAAAUAUAUGUAAACUCAUGAGCAAGGUGGACAGUAUGAGUUCAAUCUUCAUCCAAAUGCACCCCAGGAAAGUCAAACACUUCACUAUUAUGCUAAUUUAUCCACCGUGGAAAUAUCACAUUUUUGAUCAUGAUGAUUCUUCAUCUCUGAGGGCAAUAGACACCACCUAUGUUUUGAGAAGGUCCUGGCAGAAGCAAUGAUACGUGGAGUAAACAGAACGCCGAGCUGCCUGGGUAGAAUUCAGGUCCCUCCAAUUUACUGAGGAACAGAAGGAGACUGCAGCUGCCAGUCUCUUUGCAAAAGCCCAUUCUAGUGCCAAGCUCAUGGGAUGCCAGGCACACGUGGAUUCCAGACAAGCAACCCAUGUGUUGCACUCAGAGUCAAGGGCAUGGUUGUGGUGAAGUCAGACACUUGAGUCUCCAGAUAUGCUGUGAGGACAGGAAGUUGCUCUCCCAGGAAACGAGCUACUAGGAAGACAGUGGGGGAGGAAUCGGUGCAGCAGUGGACAUCCACCUUAGCCUCCCUCUGCCACCCCCCUCCCCUGUACCCUCAAGGGUCCUAUUCAGAUUCUGCUGGGCGGGGCCGGAUGUCUGUAUUCUUUGCAGGUUCCUCUCAGGAUUCAGAUGGAGAGCAAAGCUCGGGAACCUUCCAAGGGGCAUGGCUUGAGACUUGAGAAGGGGUGCACACUCCCCGGUUCCAGCCCACAGGCCCCUGGCCUCUCACAGCUCCUGACCCUGUGGUCCGCGGUGUGACCAGCCUGUCCUUUCACCCCCGGGCUCUGUCCUUCUGCAUUUGCUGUGUGUGGGUGAGCUGCGGGGUACAGCUCACACGGGCUCCUGUCCUGCCAGCUUCACUGGGGUCCAGUCCCCGGGGAAUCCCAGAAGGAGACCAAAGGCAGGAGCAGCCUAGGGCCGGGCACUGAGCCACCCGGCUCCUUCCUGUGAAGCUGCCUCAGCUGGCUCUGUCUCGGGCAGCAGGGGUGACUCACAGCUCUGUUCCUCAGGGCUCCUCUAGCCCAGCCCUCCUGUGGUGGCCCCAGGUUUGGAGCUGGUCAUGGCUGGACGGGGGACAGCUCCAGAUCCCUGCCGGCAUGCGUUUCCUGCUGCUGCACUAAGGUCUCACCCCCAACCUGGCAGCCUCAGGCAGCCAGGAGGAUUUGUUAACCUCCUGUGCUGGAAGACAAAGCCAAAAAUUAGUCUUGCUGGGCUAAAGUCAAGGUCUGGGCAGGGUGGGCUCCUGCUGGGGGCUCCUCUUGCCGCCUCUGACUUCCCAGGCUGCCCAAGGCCCUGAGCUGCUCCCCUCUCCACUCCCGGCCUCCACUCAGCAUCUGCUCUCCCAGCCCUGCUGCUGCUGCCAUCACACCCCCUUCUCUGACCCUCCCUCCUGCGUGGACAGACCCUGCGAUGAUGGUGCACCCGCCUGGCUCAUCGUGGCCUCUCCCCACCUGAAGAGCCUGUGUCAAGUCCCAUCGGCGAGGGUGCUGGUGCCAUAUGAAGGUGACAUGCACAGGACCAGGCUUUCAGAUGUGGGCCCCUUGAGGGGACAUUACUCUGUCUACCAACACUGCCGCACGCAUUGCAAUUCCAGACACCCAUACUUUUGGAAACAGUCCCUUGUGUAUGAACCUUCCUCAAAGUCACCCAAUUCCAGCACUGUCUGUUUCCCUGACAGGGUGUGCUGUCCUUGGCUCUUAUUUCAAAGCAGUUCAAGAAGGGAAAUCCAUGUAGCAUGAUCGUCCAUGCAGCCGCAGGCUCCCCCAGCUAAGCCUGAGCUUCCUCAGGGGCUGUGUCCUCGCCCUGGCUCCUUGCCCUGCCGGCGAUCUGACUGCUCCGGCAUCCCCUGCCCACCCCUCCCUCCAUGUGCACACCCUCUUCCCUCUCCCCAGCCUCCACUCACUCAUUCAACAGAAUUGGGCAGAGCGCCUCCCUCACAGGAACAGGAGGAUAGGAAGUGAGACAGACAGGACUUCUGCGCCCAGGUGGCGGACAGCCAUGGAGAGAAUGGAGGGGGACAGAAGGGGACACACAUGAGAUCCCCUGUGGCCUCUGUGGUGCAUCGUUACACUCUGAGAAGUGAGGCAGGAGGCCCACAGGGAAGGGCCACAUUCAGAUGGGAGCACAGGGGCAGCAGGCUGACCCGGCCUCGAGGUGGGGAGGCUGCCCUCGAAGUGAAGCUGGAGCAGAGGCCGGGCACCAAGUGGUCAUUCGUGAGGCCCUUGGAGGACAGAGCUGGGCCCCGAGGGGCCCUGCUUAGUGGUGGGUCUCAGAAUGAGCAGAGCAGGGGCUAGGAAAAACCUGGAGGGGACAGAGCCCGGCAAGGAGGCAGGACCGGAGUAUCCACUGUUUGAAGAGAUCGCACAGGCUGCAGCAGGAAGACUGGACGGAAGGAAGUUCUGGGACAUUUCAGAUAAAACAUCUACUCGGCUCUUGGCAGCCCACAUUUGGGAAAUGAGAGAACAAGGAUGUGUCUGAGUCCCACAUGAGAACGAGCCGGAUGACUGGUCAUGCCAGCCUCGGAAACUGACAUCUGGGAAGACCCCAUGAAGCUUGGGAAUGACAUUGUCUUACAACAUGGGGCAUUUCAAGAUGACUUUGAGAGUCUCAGUGGAGAUGGGGAGAGGCAGGUGGAUUUACGGGUCUGGAAGCUCACAGAACUUUGAGCUGGUGAUCCAAUUUGGAAGGCUUGGGCUCAAAAGGAUCAACUGUUAGGAAGUGCUGUUGCUCCAAAGCCCUCCUGCCCUGGCCCACACAGCCUUACCAGGAGGCAGAGCCAGCUGGCUGCAACUCCGACCCCCGCAGCCCAGGACCCUGGUGCCUGCUGUCCACCUUAGUGAGAAGUGAAUGAUUCUUUACAGAGUUGUUGCAUGGGACAGCGUUGCCUCCCCACCAGCCUGGACUAGGGCAGCCCAGUGUCCUCUCAGGGUGAGGAACUCUUCCCCACACCUUUAUAGGACUGCAGGAACCAGCACCAGCACAGUGAUGCCCAUGGUAUGCUCGUCUUCUGCACCCCUCUCAAGGGCAAGUCUAAUGAAGGCAAGUUCACAGACCACAACCAUGAAGCGUACAGAGUGGCCACCACUGCUAACUCCCUUACCCACCUGGAAGGCAGGCGUCCUGGCCCAGGCUCAAUUGCAUUCUCUAAUGAAUACAGACAGGAUUCUGGGUGGUUUUUUAUUUUUGUUUUUUUCAGAGACAGGGUCUCACUGUGUCACCCAGGCUGGCAUGCAGUGAUGUGAUCACGGCUCACUGCGGCCUUGACCUCCCAGCCUCAAGCAAUCCUCCUGCCUCAGCCUCCCAAAAAGCUGAGAUUAGAGGCAUGGGUCACCACGCCUAGCUUUACCAGCCCUUUAGUAAUAAGCACUUUUCAGAGAAUUGAAGCUGUUCAGCCUGGAGAUGAAGCACAGGUAUCAUCCUGGACACCAGAAGUCUGGUUGGAUGCCGGGGUCAGCUAAGAGCAAAAUGAUACUGGAGAGCAAAGGCUGUGGCGUGGCUGCUUUGACCCUGCAGGAAGAGCUUGGGCUGGCCCCAGGUGAUGCUGCCCUUGCUGUCCUAGGAGGGGCCUGGCAGGGUCCUUUCUAUCCCAGAAAUGCUGUGAGCAGAGCUAAUAAGCACCCACAGGAAGCUUCAUCUGCCCAGAGGAGAGUCUGCCUCCAUCAGCACAGUGCAGUGCACGCCAGCCGCACUCAGCGACUGUUUUGGAAGUUGCAGGGCUAUCAAAAAAUUUUAUGUCCCGGCUUUCAGGAAGUCAAGCCUAACAAAUAACAUGCACCCAGGAGAACUCCCCGAGGGCUGAGGUCUCUGGGGCUGUGGUGAGCAGUCCACGCAGACUGUGAUAGAACCCAGAGGAAGAGGGAGCCCAGGACAGGGAGGGUCAAGGAUGAAUCCCGGCCCAGCUGGCACUUUGGGAGGCUGAGGCAGGCAGAUCACGAGGUCAGGAGUUCAUGGUGAAACCCCGUCUCUACUAAAAAGACAAAAAUUAGCUGGGUGUGGUGGCAUGCAUCUGUAAUCCCAGCUACUCGGGAGACUGAGGCAGGAGAAUCGCUUGAACCCAGGAAGCAGAUGGUGCAGUGAGCUGAGAUCCUGCCACUGCACUCCAGCCUGGCGACUAUGGUAGCAUUACCAUGGUCCACAGAAAACAAGUCGCAUGAGCGAUCAACAGAAGAGAACACAAAAUAAGACCGAGAGAAGCCAUGUUCCUAGGGCCAUGCUGUCCCUGCUCCCGGCUGAGGCUUGGAGGAGGCCUACCCUGCUGAUCACACGGCGAAGAGUCAGGGCUCCGAGGCCACCUGCACAUACCAGGAUGGCAUCCCUGACACUCCCGGUGGGAAGCAAUGUCGCCAUGCCCUGAAGACUCAUGUCUGAGACGGGCGGGCAGCACCGCUCUAUCAGCCAGCUGGCUGGUUUCACAUCUCAGGGAGGGCAUUGUGUCAUGGAUGUAAAUGACAUGGCACAGCAGCGUCUCUGGUGUCUGGUGGUGAUGAAGUCCUGGUGCUGUUAAUGGAGGAAAUGCUAAAUUGCAGUUAGACAUUAAUGAAAAUAAAGAUGCAAUGUUUUUUUCAUUGUGAUGCAUGGGACCCCAAAUUCUCCCUAGACCUCUAGACCCAGCAUAAGGCCCUGUGCCUGCUGGCCAGGCUAGGGUGUGGGGACCUCACCACGGCACGUUUCCUUGGUGAAGCCAUGCCAACAUUCCUCGUUUCUCACAUUUUGGAGCCCUCCCACGAGUGGGGGAAUGCAGCCCUCCAAGGAGCUGGUGGUCUUGGACCUGCCACCCCACAGCCAGAGGUCUCUGGCUGUAGGCCACUGGUGCCUUCCCUGCUGGUACAGGUGAAUUCUGGAAGGAGGGUACCAGGGGGGUGGGCGUGUGGGUGGUGGGUAACUUCAAGCCUUCCCCAGAGGGAAGGCCUACCUCAUGGAGCUCUGUAAGCAAAGGCCAGGAGGCACCCAGGACCCCAAGUCCAUGCCAGGUGGCAUCAGGGGGAAAUGGGAGAUCAGCCUCCCCGGGACUGCCACCUUCAGGGCCCUGCAGAGAACAGGGCUGCCCUGAGUGUGCCAGCAUCCUGGGAAUGUCCCCCACCCCCAUCACAUCCCAGUCACCUGGCUGGCCAAGCAUCACCAGAGAGGAAAGAGUUUGAAAAACCAAAGUCCUUUCUGCCCCAAAAUAUUUUUUAUUUUUGCAUUACAUUUGUGUUUCCAAUUGUGAAUAAAAAAUGCUUAGAAAGUG